GAGGAGAGCGCGCCGGUGCGGAUGGCCGAUUUGAGCGGCAGCAGGCUCAGAAUCUGCAGGCGCAGCACGUCGGGAAGGUCCGAGAUGCGGUCCUCCUCCUCGGGCUCCUCGUGGGCCCCUCCUGUCCGGCGCCGCUUCUCGCCGCGCCCCGCCAUUCCCCGCUCUUCCGCCGGUCUCGCCCCCUUAUCGGCGCCGCAUCGGGGGGAGGAUUCCGGGGUAGGAGGGGUUCGGUCGGGCGCAGCUACAGAGGUGUGAGCAGGGACGGGAGGAAACGGAAGGGGGAGAGACGUGUGGAGGUGUCUCGCUCGCCGCCUGGCCGCCCGCCCGCUGCGGUGGCCUCUUCUUGUGCCUCGCUUCGGGUUUCCCCCCACCCCGCUCUCUCUGUCUGUCUCCC
RNAcentral lists this unclassified non-coding RNA (394 nucleotides) under Zea mays. RNAcentral's name for it is "misc RNA Zm00001eb232680". Lineage: Eukaryota; Viridiplantae; Streptophyta; Magnoliopsida; Poales; Poaceae. The record is from RNAcentral.